This is a non-coding RNA of Arachis ipaensis, 432 nucleotides long. The record is from RefSeq and is a predicted model, not a curated record. NCBI's taxonomy places the organism in Eukaryota, Viridiplantae, Streptophyta, Magnoliopsida, Fabales, Fabaceae.
UUUGUGGAAGUUACACUUGAUGUCAAUAAUUUUAAAGCUUAGUGCAUGCACUCCGUUUGGUGCAGAAGGAUUAUGGAAUGAAAACAGGGGAAAUGCAGAGGAAUUGAUUAUCGACCGGUUGGAUCAUUCAGAUCAUUCAAGCAUUAAAAUCAAAGAGUAUAGAAGGAGAAGCUGAACCAAUACCGAGGGACGUUCUCGAUUGGAUGGAAGAGAUGCAGAAUUGUAGACUUACUUGGGUCUCCAGGGAGGCAAACAACCUGGCGCAUACUGCGGCAACAUUGGAGUCGGACGGAAAAUUGAGGAGAAAUUGGAGUAGAUACCUUCCAAGUGAGCUGCGUGAGAUACUACGGGAUGAGACUCCUCAAACAAACAGAUUGGGCUUUUAUCCCUCUGCAGAAUCGGCGAGAUAUAAUUCAGGGCUAGAGCAGCAAA